UGGGGAAUCUUGCGCAAUGGGCGAAAGCCUGACGCAGCGACGCCGCGUGUGGGAUGAAGGUCUUCGGAUUGUAAACCACUGUCGGGAGGGACGAAGCUCUGACGGUACCUCCAAAGGAAGCACCGGCUAACUCUGUGCCAGCAGCCGCGGUAAUACAGAGGGUGCGAGCGUUGUCCGGAAUCACUGGGCGUAAAGGGCGCGUAGGCGGCCUGGUAAGUAGGGGGUGAAAUCUCAUGGCUCAACUGUGAGGCUGCCUUCUAGACUGCUGGGCUUGAGCACGGUAGAGGCUGGUGGAAUUCCCGGUGUAGCGGUGGAAUGCGUAGAGAUCGGGAGGAACAUCGGUGGCGAAGGCGGCCAGCUGGGCCGUUGCUGACGCUGAGGCGCGAAAGCGUGGGGAGCAAACAGGAUUAGAUACCCGCGUAGUCCCUGAGCGGGCUGGCAAGGCGCAU
This 449-nucleotide ribosomal RNA is filed under the name uncultured bacterium. Its description in RNAcentral is "bacterial SSU rRNA". It matches the Rfam family "Bacterial small subunit ribosomal RNA", at positions 355 to 825 of the family's 1533-position model. The record is from RNAcentral.